Enhygromyxa salina is the source of this 136-nucleotide non-coding RNA. The record is from Rfam. Lineage: Bacteria; Pseudomonadati; Myxococcota; Nannocystales; Nannocystaceae.
CAGCGGGUUCAAGUCCCGUCUCGGUAAACGCCGGUGUGCCGAGUAGCAGGCCCCAGGCGGGAGGAGAGAUCCUCCUGGCCCAAGCGGGGUGUCGAAAGCCUCUUCGGAGGGAGCAAGAUCGCGGGCCGCAGCAUCA